CCUACGGGAGGCUGCAGUGAGGAAUAUUGGUCAAUGGGCGCAAGCCUGAACCAGCCAUCCCGCGUGAAGGAAGAAGGCGCUAUGCGUCGUAAACUUCUUUUCCAGAGGAAGAAAACCCCCGACGCGUCGGGGCUUGCCGGUACUCUGGGAAUAAGCAUCGGCUAACUCCGUGCCAGCAGCCGCGGUAAUACGGAGGAUGCAAGCGUUAUCCGGAUUUAUUGGGUUUAAAGGGUGCGUAGGCGGAUUAAUAAGUCAGUGGUGAAAACCUGCAGCUUAACUGUAGAACUGCCAUUGAUACUGUUAGUCUUGAGUACGGUCAAGGUAGGCGGAAUGUGUAAUGUAGCGGUGAAAUGCUUAGAUAUUACACAGAACACCGAUUGCGAAGGCAGCUUACUGGGCCAUUACUGACGCUGAUGCACGAAAGCGUGGGGAGCGAACAGGAUUAGAUACCCUGGUAGUC
Molecule: ribosomal RNA, 460 nt
Filed under: uncultured Bacteroidota bacterium
Lineage: Bacteria; Pseudomonadati; Bacteroidota
Description: bacterial SSU rRNA
Rfam family: Bacterial small subunit ribosomal RNA
Source: RNAcentral